UACGGGGGGUGCAAGCGUUACUCGGAAUCACUGGGCGUAAAGGGAGCGUAGGCGUCCGGAUCAGUCUCCUGUGAAAUCCACCGGCUCAACCGGUGAACUGCAGGAGAAACUACCCGGAUAGAGUAUGGAAGAGGUCAGUGGAAUGGGUGGUGUAGGGGUAAAAUCCGUAGAGAUCACCCGGAAUACCAACGGCGAAGGCAACUGACUGGGACAUUACUGACGCUGAGGCUCGAAAGCGUGGGGAGCAAACAGG
This 253-nucleotide ribosomal RNA is filed under the name uncultured bacterium. RNAcentral's name for it is "partial 16S ribosomal RNA". It matches the Rfam family "Bacterial small subunit ribosomal RNA", at positions 524 to 776 of the family's 1533-position model. The record is from RNAcentral.